CCCUUAGAUGUUCUGGGCCGCACGCGUGCUACACUGAGUGGAUCAGCGGGUCAGGUUGCGCGAAAGCGUUUCCUAAUCUUUAAAUCCGCUCGUGAUGGGGAUUGACGGUUGCAAUUUUCUGUCAUGAACGAGGAAUACCUUGUAAGCGCGGGUCAUCAUCCCGCGCUGAUUACGUCCCUGCCCUUUGUACACACCGCCCGUCGCUCCUACCGAUUGAAUGCUCAGGUGAGCCAUUCGGACUUUCAUCAUGCUGGUUUCCAGUUUUGAUGAAGGAAAGUCUUGCGAACCUUAUCAUUUAGAGGAAGGAGAAGUCGUAACA
RNAcentral lists this ribosomal RNA (319 nucleotides) under uncultured eukaryote. RNAcentral's name for it is "partial 18S ribosomal RNA". It matches the Rfam family "Eukaryotic small subunit ribosomal RNA", at positions 1470 to 1796 of the family's 1831-position model. The record is from RNAcentral.